This is a long non-coding RNA of Syngnathoides biaculeatus (alligator pipefish), 593 nucleotides long. RefSeq lists it as uncharacterized. The transcript is spliced from 3 exons. Lineage: Eukaryota; Metazoa; Chordata; Actinopteri; Syngnathiformes; Syngnathidae. The record is from RefSeq and is a predicted model, not a curated record.
UCAUCGGUUUGACGACAGUUGACCUUUAAAAAAAGAUGCAGGAGGAUGGCUCUUGAGGAUUGUAUUUGGACAUACCUGAUGUAGAAGAAGCAAGCCAUUUUUUGUGACAAGGUUUAGUGAUAAUGAUUGAAUAUUUUUGAAUUUUUUUAGAUACAACAUUAUCUUUGGUAGCUUUGAUGGUUUUUUCUCGAAAGGUGCUGUAUCUUCCAUAAAUGUACAUUUAUGGUUUAAAAAGAUAUGUAUUUUACUUCUGUACUUUAGCUGUGUUGCGCAGAUAAUGUAUCUUGGUGCAGUUUCCAACAACCUGGCAUCUACCACACUGGCUUUCUUUCAGGGUUCAGUGGAGGAGUUUGGUUUCCCCCUCAGGGUACGUGCUGAUCAAGGGGUGGAAAACGUGGAGGUUGCAUGUCUCUUGUUAUUGGUUCGUGGGACAAGAAGAAGCAGCUUCAUAUCUGGAAAGAGUGUUCACAAUCAAAGGAUUGAGCGACUGUGGAGAGACCUGUUGGAGCUGUGACAUGCAUUUAUUAUGAUGUGCUUCACUACUUUGAAGGGGAGGGGUACCUCAACAUUUCAAAUGUUGCACACCUCUUCUG